CUAGGUAAACAAAGAGGGAUUUUUUUUUUACCGAGGUUGCUAGGUAACCAAGAGUUAAUGCCACUUAUCUUCCUUAGCUGGCCGUGAGAGGUUGAGGAGCCAACGGCUUUCCUCUGCCUACAUCUCCCAGAAUGCUGUGCGGUUCUGGAUCAGAAUACCUCUUUGAACAGCAGAAACGGCGCCUCCUGCACAACCAACAAGAAGCUGGCAAGUGGUUUCUGAAUGGCACCAAAACUGGCUCCGGCCCAGGGCCCCUCAUCCCUGUAACUCCGGCACUGGGCGUAAUCUAAGGGCAACACAUCCAGGUCAGCAGCUGGAAGAAAACUUACUCUGAAGUAGAUGGGAAACUACAUUUGGUUUUAUCCAUGUGGACGUGAAGCGGUGAAACAGAGACACUAAACGACGCACGGGGAGGCGUUUUGUACGCGUUUUUGAACGUUCACACGGUUAAUCAGCAGCAGAAGCAUUUCCUGGGAAUUCCCUCUGAGAGAAACUGGAAGAGUUGGAGGAGCAAAGGAAGCAAAGGAAGUAUAAAAGCACGUCUCAGUCACAGUUGAAAGAAAAAACCCUUCUCCGGAAGACAAUACGAUGCACACAAUGACAUGACGAUGUGCUAUAAUUUGGUUAAAUCUUUGUUAAAAUAACUGGACCAAGUUUUUUGCCUCAGUGAGGUUGUUGGCGUCAAAAAGAACC
This is a non-coding RNA of Poecilia reticulata (guppy), 693 nucleotides long. NCBI's taxonomy places the organism in Eukaryota, Metazoa, Chordata, Actinopteri, Cyprinodontiformes, Poeciliidae. The record is from RefSeq and is a predicted model, not a curated record.